RNAcentral lists this ribosomal RNA (484 nucleotides) under uncultured bacterium. RNAcentral's name for it is "partial 16S ribosomal RNA". It matches the Rfam family "Bacterial small subunit ribosomal RNA", at positions 30 to 507 of the family's 1533-position model. The record is from RNAcentral.
AUUGAACGCUGGCGGCAGGCCUAACACAUGCGAGUCGAGCGGAUGAAGGGAGCUUGCUCCUGGAUUCAGCGGCGGACGGGUGAGUAAUGCCUAGGAAUCUGCCUGGUAGUGGGGGAUAACGUCCGGAAACGGGCGCUAAUACCGCAUACGCCCUGAGGGAGAAAGUGGGGGAUCUUCGGACCUCACGCUAUCAGAUGAGCCUAGGUCGGAUUAGCUAGUUGGUGGGGUAAAGGCCUACCAAGGCGACGAUCCGUAGCUGGUCUGAGAGGAUGAUCAGUCACACUGGAACUGAGACACGGUCCAGACUCCUACGGGAGGCAGCAGUGGGGAAUAUUGGACAAUGGGCGAAAGCCUGAUCCAGCCAUGCCGCGUGUGUGAAGAAGGUCUUCGGAUUGUAAAGCACUUUAAGUUGGGAGGAAGGGCAGUAAGUUAAUACCUUGCUGUUUUGACGUUACCAACAGAAUAAGCACCGGCUAACUUCGUG